Molecule: ribosomal RNA, 106 nt
Filed under: Patescibacteria group bacterium
Lineage: Bacteria
Source: RNAcentral
GCUAGUGCUUCAUCGGAGGGGUCACACCCGUUCUCAUUCCGAACACGGCAGUUAAGCCCUCUUGAGGCGAUGGUAGUCGCAAGGCGAGAGUAGCUAGGCGCUAGCA